RNA transcript from Silurus meridionalis, 1601 nucleotides. It is a transcript of the gene named charged multivesicular body protein 1b-1-like, with no coding region annotated. NCBI's taxonomy places the organism in Eukaryota, Metazoa, Chordata, Actinopteri, Siluriformes, Siluridae. The record is from RefSeq and is a predicted model, not a curated record. The transcript has 6 exons.
UAAAAAAAUAACAUCAAAAUGAGAUAGUUGGAGCCUUAUAUCGUGCUGUGAAUUUGUUAGCUAGAUGAAAGGUCAAUUUACUCGAGUCCAAAAAUAAAAACGACGUCACUGGACUUGUACCGCCACGGACAAGGAACAGUGUGUGUUAAAAAUAAUGUCAGCGUGCCAUCCCAAACGCCCGUGACGUCAAAGGAGCACGCCUUUCGAUAGGCGUGAACGCGAAGGCUGCGCGUCGCCCGGGACGUCACGGUGUGUAGCCGGAAGUCGCAGAUGCUGCCCCUGUUGUCAGGGAACAUCAAAGCGCCGUGCAUCCUCGAGCCUUUCCCUGCCGGUUCGGCGUGUUCAUUAAACGGCUGUUGGAGAGAUCAGCAGGCAAAACGAGCGAUUCAGACAUGUCAAACAUGGAAAAGCACCUUUUCAACCUCAAGUUUGCGGCCAAAGAGCUGGACUGCAAUGCAAAGAAAUGUUACAAAGAGGAGAAGGCUGAAAAAGCUAAAGUGAAAAAGCUAUAGAGAAAGGGAACAUGGAGGUGAACAUACAUGCUUAAAAUGCAAUCCAACAGAAGAAUCAAUCCAUCAACUUUCUUUGCAGAAGCACUUGAGUGGAUGCAGUGGCUGCUUGGGUCCAAACUGCUGUUACCCCAAAUAAGGUCACCAUGGAAGGUGUGGUUAAGUCUAUGGAUGCUAAAAAGAGCAUGAACUUACAAAUGGUUGCUUUGCUUUUACUACCUUCACCUUUAGCUGCAGUUACAGUUACAGUCCUUUCAGAUUUUGUACAGAACAGAAUCUGAGCAGAAGGUAUGGCUCUGUACACUACUGUAUACUUGUACUACUAAUCGUCCUGCUGCUUCUGUUAGUAGUCACAUCAUUAUCUUUUUUGGAAGGCAUUUUCCUUCAAAUGGACCCUGUGGCACAGCAUUAUGGACAGUUCAAAAAGAGUUUCAGAGGAAGCUCGUUUGCCCACAAAAUGUCAGAUGCGAGGACGUUGUGUGACGUAAGUGAAAAUUGGCAGAUGACCACAUUGGAAAGAAGAUGUGAAAUCAAUAUUAAAAAAAAAAAUGGUUAAUUGCAAAAAUUGAUAGCAAAUAAAAAAUAUAUAGAAAUCAACCUAUAUUUAUCUUUACUAGUUUUUUAAAAUCAAUAUUACAUUAUGAAACCUAUUUAUAUUUAUUUCUAUUUUAUUAAUUUAUUGCUUAAAAACAGAUAAUUUUGUUUCAUUAUUUCAAGUAUUUAUUUCUGGCAAGAAGCUAAAGAAUCUGCCACUAAAAUAGAACAACUCCACAAAGAAAUGUAUAAUGAUUAAAUAUGUCUAAAUAUAUAUGGCCAUAUAUUAGAGAUAAUUAGAAAAUCUGAAUUAGACAAUAACCUAUUUUGUAUUCAAAAUAUGUUUAGCAAACUUGCUAAACAUGCAUUUUUUUAAUGCAUGCUGGUAAUUUUCUGUUUUUACUUGUUUAAUGUAUAAUUUGUAUGUAGGUCUAUACAGAAUAAAGUGCAGUCUUUAAUGCAGGAGAUGGAAGAUGAAGCUGGGGUUGCUCUGAACAUGGAGCUGCCUUUAGGACAGACUGGUUCUGUUGGCACCAGUUUAACUUUAGCAUGCACAAG